Gossypium arboreum is the source of this 394-nucleotide long non-coding RNA. RefSeq lists it as uncharacterized. Lineage: Eukaryota; Viridiplantae; Streptophyta; Magnoliopsida; Malvales; Malvaceae. The record is from RefSeq and is a predicted model, not a curated record. The transcript has 2 exons.
UAACACUUCACCACGCCAAGAACGGCGUCGACGUCGUCUCCGGAACUCGAGUGAAAUCUCACUUCGCCAAGCCUAACUGGCGUCAAGUUUACAAAAAGAUCGCCCUACAUCAUCCUGACGCCAGAAUUGGAGUUUUCUACUGUGGGGCACCAGCACUAACCAAGGAGUUGAGACAACUGGCUUCUGAUUUUUCCCACAAGACUUCAACGAAGUUCGAAUUCCACAAAGAAAAUUUUUAAUGAAAUCUCUUUUACACUUUUCUAAAUUCAUUCUAAUUUUUUAGUUCCAAGUGAAUAUAGCUUUCUUUUUAUUUUCUUAAUUUUCCAAUUUGUUUUAGCACUAUGAGAAUUGUACUAAAAUUUUCUAUAUAUUAAAAUUUAUGCCUUUAGUUCAA